ACGUCAUGUAGCUCACAUUUGAGCUGCACGAUGCAUACUGCUGAUUUUCAUUUAUCCUCUCUAACCACUUUUGGUGACUCCCAUGUCGAAAUCCUAUCCUAGACCCAUUGGAGCUGACGACUAUAUCGAAGGACCCUAGCGGCCACAUCCCAUCUCGCCUCCUCGACGAUCUUCGAUAGUCUCCUACACUCGAUGGUCAAUUUGUUUCUUUCCUCAGUGUGAGCUUUGUCCCUUGGCCAA
This 240-nucleotide long non-coding RNA is filed under the name Elaeis guineensis (African oil palm). Its description in RNAcentral is "long non-coding RNA (EGUI_LNC034584)". The record is from RNAcentral. Lineage: Eukaryota; Viridiplantae; Streptophyta; Magnoliopsida; Arecales; Arecaceae.